RNAcentral lists this ribosomal RNA (803 nucleotides) under uncultured bacterium. Its description in RNAcentral is "bacterial SSU rRNA". It matches the Rfam family "Bacterial small subunit ribosomal RNA", at positions 8 to 796 of the family's 1533-position model. The record is from RNAcentral.
AGAGUUUGAUCAUGGCUCAGAAUAAACGCUGGCGGCGUGCCUAACACAUGCAAGUCGCACGAGAAAGUCGGCUUUCGGGCCGGCGAGUAAAGUGGCGCACGGGUGAGUAACGCGUAGGCGACCUACCCCUGUGUUCGGGAUAACAGAGCGAAAGCGCUGCUAAUACCGGAUACGAUCCCUUCGGGGAAGAAAGCGGGCCUCUCGAAGAAGCUCGCGCGCGGGGAUGGGCCUGCGUCCUAUCAGCUAGUUGGCGGGGUAACGGCCCACCAAGGCAUCGACGGGUAGCUGGUCUGAGAGGAUGAUCAGCCACACUGGCACUGGAACACGGGCCAGACUCCUACGGGAGGCAGCAGUGAGGAAUUUUGCGCAAUGGGAGAAAUCCUGACGCAGCAACGCCGCGUGGGUGAUGAAGGCCUUCGGGUCGUAAAGCCCUGUCAGGUGGGAAGAAUGGGCGCAAGGCGAACAGCCUUGUGUUUUGACGGUACCACCAGAGGAAGCACCGGCUAACUCCGUGCCAGCAGCCGCGGUAAUACGGAGGGUGCGAGCGUUAUUCGGAAUUACUGGGCGUAAAGCGCGUGCAGGCGGGCGUGCAAGUCUGAUGUGAAAGCCCCGGGCUCAACCUGGGAAGAGCAUUGGAAACUGCACGUCUUGAGUGCUGGAGAGGAAGGGGGAAUUCCCGGUGUAGAGGUGAAAUUCGUAGAGAUCGGGAGGAAUACCAGUGGCGAAGGCGCCCUUCUGGACGGCAACUGACGCUGAGACGCGAAAGCGUGGGGAGCAAACAGGAUUAGAUACCCUAGUAGUCC